AUCAACUCUUCCAACUAAAAGUGAACAGCGUAAAGACCAGGUAUUUUCAGAAAGUAUUCGUAAAUCACUUCAGACAUGUUUAGUCCAAGAAAACGAAGAAAAACUUGAAGGAUUGUUGAAGUUUUACCAAAAGAGAAAAGCUCACCAUAAGUCACAAGUAAUAACAGCAUUGUUAUAUGUUUUGCGCCAAAUUCUCGCUUCAUCCAGUUUUACAGAUGGACGUGGAAGAGGCUUUUUACACUUUUGAGAAGCUUUUGGUCUAUACAGUAGCUUUUUUGAGAAGCCCAUACAAAAAGAAGAAUUCAGGGACCAGCUUUUGAAUCCUGAAUAUGGUCUGCGUGUGUUAGUGGCUACUAUUCACGGUACAAGAUAUGUCAUACUCGAAAAUGACUUCACAGAUAUUGCAUGGCUUUUGAAAGACAUGGGAAAUACCAUAGAGGGGAAGAAUGUACGGUAUGAGCUCACUGCUUCUAACUUGCAAAGUAUUAUAAAUUCAAUGGACACAGAAUAUGAUAAGAAUGCACUGAAAGCUGUUAUAUUUGCAACCAGAAGUCGAAGUGAAGUUGAAAGUCUUGGAAUUAAGGCUGAUAGAGCAGUUACUUUUUUAAGUAAAACAGUAAAUGCUGCUAAAGAAUGGAAGAAUGCAAUGUUGGCAGCAGAGGACAUGAUUGAACUGCGUCUAAAGGAGAAAAAGGAGUCUGUUG
Molecule: long non-coding RNA, 704 nt
Organism: Exaiptasia diaphana
Lineage: Eukaryota; Metazoa; Cnidaria; Anthozoa; Actiniaria; Aiptasiidae
Exons: 2
Source: RefSeq, a predicted model, not a curated record